This 253-nucleotide ribosomal RNA is filed under the name uncultured bacterium. RNAcentral's name for it is "partial 16S ribosomal RNA". It matches the Rfam family "Bacterial small subunit ribosomal RNA", at positions 524 to 776 of the family's 1533-position model. The record is from RNAcentral.
UACGUAGGGGGGCUAGCGUUGUCCGGAAUCAUUGGGCGUAAAGCGCGUGUAGGCGGCCCGGUAAGUCCGCUGUGAAAGUCGGGGGCUCAACCCUCGGAUGCCGGUGGAUACUGUCGGGCUCGAGUACGGAAGAGGCGAGUGGAAUUCCUGGUGUAGCGGUGAAAUGCGCAGAUAUCAGGAGGAACACCGGUGGCGAAGGCGGGUCUCUGGGCCAAAACUGACGCUGAGGAGCGAAAGCGUGGGAGCGAACAGG